CGAACGGGGAUGCCAUUUUUGAGGCGGUUAGUUUACUAAGCGCCAAGAUGCCGGCAUCUUAGUGGCGGACGGGUGAGUAACGCGUGGGUAACCUGCCUUAUACAGGGGGAUAACACUUAGAAAUAGGUGCUAAUACCGCAUAAGCGCACGGGGCUGCAUGGCCCAGUGUGAAAAACUCCGGUGGUAUAAGAUGGACCCGCGUCUGAUUAGCUUGUUGGCGGGGUAACGGCCCACCAAGGCGACGAUCAGUAGCCGGCCUGAGAGGGUGGACGGCCACAUUGGGACUGAGACACGGCCCAAACUCCUACGGGAGGCAGCAGUGGGGAAUAUUGGACAAUGGGGGGAACCCUGAUCCAGCGACGCCGCGUGAGUGAAGAAGUAUUUCGGUAUGUAAAGCUCUAUCAGCAGGGAAGAAAGAAAUGACGGUACCUGACUAAGAAGCCCCGGCUAACUACGUGCCAGCAGCCGCGGUAAUACGUAGGGGGCAAGCGUUAUCCGGAUUUACUGGGUGUAAAGGGAGCGUAGACGGUUACGCAAGUCUGAAGUGAAAGGCGGGGGCCCAACCCCCGGACUGCUUUGGAAACUGUGAAACUGGAGUGCAGGAGAGGUAAGUGGAAUUCCUAGUGUAGCGGUGAAAUGCGUAGAUAUUAGGAGGAACACCCGUGGCGAAGGGGGGUUACUGGAAUGUAACGGACGUUGGAGGGCUUGAAAAGGGUGGGGGAGCAAACAGGAUUAGAUACCCUGGUAGUCCACGCCGUAAACGAUGAUCACUAGGUGUCGGUGGGUAUGGACCCACCGGUGCCGCAGCAAACGCAUUAAGUGAUCCACCUGGGGAGUACGUUCGCAAGAAUGAAACUCAAAGGAAUUGACGGGGACCCGCACAAACGGUGGAGCAUGUGGUUUAAUUCGAAGCAACGCGAAGAACCUUACCAAGUCUUGACAUCCCGUUGACGAGUGAGUAAUGUCACUUUCCCUUCGGGGCAGCGGAGACAGGUGGUGCAUGGUUGUCGUCAGCUCGUGUCGUGAGAUGUUGGGUUAAGUCCCGCAACGAGCGCAACCCCUAUCCUUAGUAGCCAGCGGAUAAAGCCGGGCACUCUAGGGGGACUGCCGGGGACAACCCGGAGGAAGGUGGGGAUGACGUCAAAUCAUCAUGCCCCUUAUGAUUUGGGCUACACACGUGCUACAAUGGCGUAAACAAAGGGAAGCGAGGCAGCGAUGUGGAGCGAAUCCCAAAAAUAACGUCCCAGUUCGGAUUGUAGCCUGCAACCCGGCUACAUGAAGCUGGAAUCGCUAGUAA
RNAcentral lists this ribosomal RNA (1297 nucleotides) under uncultured bacterium. Its description in RNAcentral is "bacterial SSU rRNA". It matches the Rfam family "Bacterial small subunit ribosomal RNA", at positions 30 to 1341 of the family's 1533-position model. The record is from RNAcentral.